AAAGUCGUAACAAGGUUUCCGUAGGUGAACCUGCGGAAGGAUCAUUAUCCUUUUAUCAGGGGGUUAAUGCUGGCACUCUGGGUCUAUUGCUCAGUGUGUUGGCUUAUCCCUUUCUGAUUCUACCCAUGUUUUUUGCGUACUACUUGUUUCCUUGGUGGGCUUGCCCACCGAUAGGACACCACACAACCUUUUGUAAUUGCAGUCAGCGUCAGUAACAAUGUAAUAAUUACAACUUUCAACAACGGAUCUCUUGGUUCUG
This 259-nucleotide unclassified non-coding RNA is filed under the name Ascomycota sp. Its description in RNAcentral is "partial contains small subunit ribosomal RNA, internal transcribed spacer 1, and 5.8S ribosomal RNA". The stretch from base 1 to 47 matches the Rfam family "Eukaryotic small subunit ribosomal RNA", at positions 1785 to 1831 of the family's 1831-position model. The record is from RNAcentral. Lineage: Eukaryota; Fungi; Ascomycota.